UGGGGGGUCGGGGUUCCCAUCCCCAACCGGGGCGGGGGAAAACGUAAACAGCUGCCGCCAAAUAGUGCGCGCAAUGCUUCAAGAUUGAGAUUCAUAAUUCGCAAUUCACAUUACUAUCGAUUUGCGCUUCUUCAUGAUGCCAGAACCAAAGAUCCGUGUGAAGUUGAUUUAUUUAUGUUUACUCGAAGUACAUAUAAAACGAGUUAGGUCCUCGGGGCGUCCCUUUUACCGAGGGUGAUCCGCGAGCAACAAUUGUAUUUCACAGGUUGGAGUGUAACUCGUAAUAUUUUUUUUGGUGACAGCGGAGGAUCAUACCGAGUUACAACUCCCAAACCCCUGUGAACAUACCAAUUGUUGCCUCGGCGGAUCAGCCCGCUCCCGGUAAAACGGGACGGCCCGCCAGAGGACCCCUAAACUCUGUUUCUAUAUGUAACUUCUGAGUAAAACCAUAAAUAAAUCAAAACUUUCAACAACGGAUCUCUUGGUUCUGGCAUCGAUGAAGAACGCAGCAAAAUGCGAUAAGUAAUGUGAAUUGCAGAAUUCAGUGAAUCAUCGAAUCUUUGAACGCACAUUGCGCCCGCCAGUAUUCUGGCGGGCAUGCCUGUUCGAGCGUCAUUUCAACCCUCAAGCCCCCGGGUUUGGUGUUGGGGAUCGGCGAGCCCUCGCGGCAAGCCGGCCCCGAAAUCUAGUGGCGGUCUCGCUGUAGCUUCCAUUGCGUAGUAGUAAAACCCUCGCAACUGGUACGCGGCGCGGCCAAGCCGUUAAACCCCCAACUUCUGAAUGUUGACCUCGGAUCGGAGUAGAAUACCCGCUGAACUUAACCCUAUCAUAAGGCGGAAGAGAGUCUUACGGGGUUUACCCUCCAAACCAUGGGGACUUCCAAUGGUUGCCUCGGCGAACACCCCUCCGGUAAGCGGGACGGCCGCGAGGACCCUAACUUGUUUCUAUAUGUAACUUCUGAGUAAAACAUAAAUAAAUCAAACUUUCACAACGAUCUCUUGGUUCUGGCAUCAUGAAGAAGCACAAAUGCGAUAAGUAAUGUGAAUUGCGAAUUCGUGAAUCACAAUCUUUAAGCCAUUGCGCCGCACUAUUUGGGGGCAGCUGUUGA
Molecule: ribosomal RNA, 1108 nt
Filed under: Fusarium sp. AQGS13
Lineage: Eukaryota; Fungi; Ascomycota; Sordariomycetes; Hypocreales; Nectriaceae
Description: eukaryotic LSU rRNA
Rfam family: 5.8S ribosomal RNA (bases 462-615)
Source: RNAcentral